RNAcentral lists this long non-coding RNA (1136 nucleotides) under Vulpes vulpes (red fox). RNAcentral describes it as "lncRNA (ENSVVUG00000008061.1)". The record is from RNAcentral. Lineage: Eukaryota; Metazoa; Chordata; Mammalia; Carnivora; Canidae.
GUACUCAUACUUCUUGUGAUGAUGAUAUGAGAUGAUAAAAUGUCUAUGGGAUCAGAUGAGAUGAGGUGUCACAUAUGCAUUGUGACAUAGCUUUAGGCUAUUGUUGACCUUCUGAGGAUGUGUCAGAAGGAGGAUCACCUGCUUUAGGAUCACAGGAAACUUCAGCCACAGAAAGUGAACUGGAUGUGGUGGUGGUGGUGGUGGGGUGCUAUUCUAAUUAUAUGUUGGCAAGAUAGUUCUGCCUAAUGUUGGAAGGCAUUAAUGCAGAGAAGCUGAACUUCAUCCAGCAGAGUUUCCUGGUCAUGUUAGCCUUCCAGAAGAGAACCUACUUUUGUUUCACAUUCUUGCUCUCCAGGAAAGCAGACAGGGAGCAUUUCAGUAUCAGCACUUUUCACCCAUGCAGUGUGUAAGUGCAUCACUUAACAGCGGUCUUUUUAGGCCAAAGGAGAUAAAUCAUCCCAGGAACACAUGUAUUAUUUGCUUUGUGGAGAGGCUCAUGGGUGAAGAUGUAGAUUGGAGAAAUUUCUUCAAACAAGAAAGGGAUAGAGACACUACAGGGGGAUCAAAGUUUGAGAAGAAAAAGGAAGAAGGUUCAGGUGACAGGAAUUGAAAAGAGAGUCUGGGCAAUUUCAAAAAAAGAGAAGAGGGAUAGGAGAGAGGAGGGAAAGAAUUUUUAAGAUCUGUUGUGUCCUCUAUUGAGUAAUUCCUCUCUCCCCACAAAACCCCACAAAACCUUGAGUAAAAUUCAGUUGUUGGUCUGUGCUUUUGAAGGAUUUCUAUUUGUUUAUGACUCUGUAUGUAUGUAUGUGGCUUUAAAGUGUCAAUGGAUAUGAAAGAGUGGAAACCGGAGUUUUAACAGAAGCGGGGAUGUAGUAAGAGGCCAAGUAUGGCCGGGUGGUUCGUUCAGGUAGGAAGGAGUAUUCUAUUAGGGACAUCAUUUAGAAUUUUCUGUGCAUGGUGAUUUUAAAAAGACUAGUUUUUAUUAACUUUUAUUACAUUUUAAAAUUUGCUGUGAAUGUGCCACUUGAUUGCAGACACCUUGGCAGACUGCUCCUCCCACCUUGCUCUGUUGUUAGAAAUAAGCCAACAGCUCGCUUGCUUGCUUUCUUAUUACUAUUUUUUAAAUACUUUUAUUU